Molecule: ribosomal RNA, 252 nt
Filed under: uncultured bacterium
Lineage: Bacteria
Description: partial 16S ribosomal RNA
Rfam family: Bacterial small subunit ribosomal RNA
Source: RNAcentral
UACGUAGGGUGCGAGCGUUGUCCGGAAUUAUUGGGCGUAAAGAGCUCGUAGGCGGUCUGUCGCGUCGAUCGUGAAAACUUGGGGCUUAACCCUGAGCUUGCGGUCGAUACGGGCAUGACUGGAGUUCGGCAGGGGAGACUGGAAUUCCUGGUGUAGCGGUGAAAUGCGCAGAUAUCAGGAGGAACACCGGUGGCGAAGGCGGGUCUCUGGGCCGAUACUGACGCUGAGGAGCGAAGCGUGGGAGCAAACAGG